RNAcentral lists this ribosomal RNA (399 nucleotides) under uncultured bacterium. Its description in RNAcentral is "bacterial SSU rRNA". It matches the Rfam family "Bacterial small subunit ribosomal RNA", at positions 329 to 745 of the family's 1533-position model. The record is from RNAcentral.
CGCCAGACUCCUACGGGAGGCAGCAGUGGGGAAUAUUGGGCAAUGGGCGCAAGCCUGACCCAGCAACGCCGCGUGAGGGAAGACGGUUUUCGGAUUGUAAACCUCUGUCCUCUGUGAAGAUGAUGACGGUAGCAGAGGAGGAAGCUCCGGCUAACUACGUGCCAGCAGCCGCGGUAAUACGUAGGGAGCGAGCGUUGUCCGGAUUUACUGGGUGUAAAGGGUGCGUAGGCGGCUAUGCAAGUCAGUAGUGAAAUCCAUGGGCUUAACCCAUGAACUGCUAUUGAAACUGCACAGCUUGAGUGAAGUAGAGGUAGGCGGAAUUCCCGGUGUAGCGGUGAAAUGCGUAGAGAUCGGGAGGAACACCAGUGGCGAAGGCGGCCUACUGGGCUUUAACUGACG